CCUACGGGAGGCAGCAGUGAGGAAUAUUGGUCAAUGGACGAGAGUCUGAACCAGCCAAGUAGCGUGAAGGAUGACUGCCCUAUGGGUUGUAAACUUCUUUUAUAAAGGAAUAAAACGAGGCACGUGUGCCUUUUUGCAUGUACUUUAUGACUAAGGAUCGGCUAACUCCGUGCCAGCAGCCGCGGUAAUACGGGGGAUCCGAGCGUUAGCCGGAUUUAUUGGGUUUAAAGGGAGCGUAGAUGGGUUGUUAAGUCAGUUGUGAAAGUUUGCGGCUCAACCCCGGCGAGCCGUUGAAACUGGCUGUCUUGAGAUGUCGAGAGGUAUGCGGAAUGCGCAGUGUAGCGGUGAAAUGCUUAGAUAUUGCGCAGAACUCCGAUUGCGAAGGCAGCAUACCGGCGGCGAUCUGACGCUGAGGCACGAAAGCGUGGGUAUCGAACAGGAUUAGAUACCCGAGUAGUC
Molecule: ribosomal RNA, 459 nt
Filed under: uncultured bacterium
Lineage: Bacteria
Description: partial 16S ribosomal RNA
Rfam family: Bacterial small subunit ribosomal RNA
Source: RNAcentral